RNAcentral lists this ribosomal RNA (848 nucleotides) under Podaxis sp. B BHC-2016. RNAcentral's name for it is "eukaryotic LSU rRNA". It matches the Rfam family "Eukaryotic large subunit ribosomal RNA", at positions 87 to 922 of the family's 3401-position model. Lineage: Eukaryota; Fungi; Basidiomycota; Agaricomycetes; Agaricales; Agaricaceae. The record is from RNAcentral.
CUGCGAGUGAAGCGGGAAAAGCUCAAAUUUAAAAUCUGGCGGUCUCUGGCCGUCCGAGUUGUAAUCUAGAGAAGUGUUACCCGCGCUGGACCGUGUACAAGUCCCCUGGAAUGGGGCGUCAUAGAGGGUGAGAAUCCCGUCUCUGACACGGACUACCAGGGCUUUGUGGUAUGCUCUCAAAGAGUCGAGUUGUUUGGGAAUGCAGCUCAAAAUGGGUGGUAAAUUCCAUCUAAAGCUAAAUAUUGGCGAGAGACCGAUAGCGAACAAGUACCGUGAGGGAAAGAUGAAAAGAACUUUGGAAAGAGAGUUAAACAGUACGUGAAAUUGCUGAAAGGGAAACGCUUGAAGUCAGUCGCGUUGGCCGGGAAUCAGCCUCGCUUUUGUGUGGUGUACUUUCUGGUUGACGGGUCAGCAUCAAUUUUGACUGCUGGAAAAAGGCUUGGGGAAUGUGGCAGCUCCGGCUGUGUUAUAGCCCCUUGUCACAUACAGCGGUUGGGAUUGAGGAACUCAGCACGCCGCAAGGCCGGGUUUCGACCACGUUCGUGCUUAGGAUGCUGGCAUAAUGGCUUUAAGCGACCCGUCUUGAAACACGGACCAAGGAGUCUAACAUGCCUGCGAGUGUUUGGGUGGAAAACCCGAGCGCGUAAUGAAAGUGAAAGUUGAGAUCCCUGUCGUGGGGAGCAUCGACGCCCGGACCAGAACUUUUGGGACGGAUCCGCGGUAGAGCAUGUAUGUUGGGACCCGAAAGAUGGUGAACUAUGCCUGAAUAGGGUGAAGCCAGAGGAAACUCUGGUGGAGGCUCGUAGCGAUUCUGACGUGCAAAUCGAUCGUCAAAUUUGGGUAUAGGG